RNAcentral lists this ribosomal RNA (253 nucleotides) under uncultured bacterium. Its description in RNAcentral is "partial 16S ribosomal RNA". It matches the Rfam family "Bacterial small subunit ribosomal RNA", at positions 524 to 776 of the family's 1533-position model. The record is from RNAcentral.
UACGUAGGGAGCAAGCGUUGUCCGGAAUCAUUGGGCGUAAAGCGCGCGUAGGCGGCCUCAUAAGUCCGUUGUGAAAGUCAAAGGCUCAACCUUUGAAAGCCGAUGGAUACUGUGAGGCUAGAGUCCGGAAGAGGCGAGUGGAAUUCCUGGUGUAGCGGUGAAAUGCGCAGAUAUCAGGAGGAACACCAAUGGCGAAGGCAGCUCACUGGGACGGUAUUGACGCUGAGACGCGAUAGCGUGGGGAGCAAACAGG